This 75-nucleotide transfer RNA is filed under the name Erysipelothrix sp. Its description in RNAcentral is "tRNA-Val". It matches the Rfam family "tRNA". Rfam says of the family: Transfer RNA (tRNA) molecules are approximately 80 nucleotides in length. Their secondary structure includes four short double-helical elements and three loops (D, anti-codon, and T loops). The record is from RNAcentral. Lineage: Bacteria; Bacillati; Bacillota; Erysipelotrichia; Erysipelotrichales; Erysipelotrichaceae.
GGACUCUUAGCUCAGUGGGAGAGCACCUGCUUGACGUGCAGGGGGUCAGGGGUUCAAAUCCCUUAGAGUCCACCA